AUGGGCGCAAGCCUGAUCCAGCCAUGCCGCGUGAAUGAUGAAGGCCUUAGGGUUGUAAAAUUCUUUCACCGGGGACGAUAAUGACGGUACCCGGAGAAGAAGCCCCGGCUAACUUCGUGCCAGCAGCCGCGGUAAU
Molecule: ribosomal RNA, 136 nt
Filed under: uncultured bacterium
Lineage: Bacteria
Description: partial 16S ribosomal RNA
Rfam family: Bacterial small subunit ribosomal RNA
Source: RNAcentral